GAUGAACGCUGGCGGCGUGCCUAAUACAUGCAAGUCGAGCGAACAGACGAGGAGCUUGCUCCUCUGACGUUAGCGGCGGACGGGUGAGUAACACGUGGAUAACCUACCUAUAAGACUGGGAUAACUUCGGGAAACCGGAGCUAAUACCGGAUAAUAUAUUGAACCGCAUGGUUCAAUAGUGAAAGACGGUUUUGCCGUCACUUAUAGAUGGAUCCGCGCCGCAUUAGCUAGUUGGUAAGGUAACGGCUUACCAAGGCAACGAUGUGUAGCCGACCUGAGAGGGUGAUCGGCCACACUGGAACUGAGACACGGUCCAGACUCCUACGGGAGGCAGCAGUAGGGAAUCUUCCGCAAUGGGCGAAAGCCUGACGGAGCAACGCCGCGUGAGUGAUGAAGGUCUUCGGAUCGUAAAACUCUGUUAUUAGGGAAGAACAAAUGUGUAAGUAACUAUGCACGUCUUGACGGUACCUAAUCAGAAAGCCACGGCUAACUACGUG
Molecule: ribosomal RNA, 497 nt
Filed under: uncultured bacterium
Lineage: Bacteria
Description: partial 16S ribosomal RNA
Rfam family: Bacterial small subunit ribosomal RNA
Source: RNAcentral